Small nucleolar RNA from Lepidothrix coronata (blue-crowned manakin), 136 nucleotides. The record is from Ensembl. NCBI's taxonomy places the organism in Eukaryota, Metazoa, Chordata, Aves, Passeriformes, Pipridae.
UCCCUCCAGUUCCCUUUCCCAUUGGAUCUGAAUACCGAUCUUGUGGUCGAAAAAGGAGGAAGAGUGAAAAUUCACCCUGGUCUAGGGCUCUCUGCGGGUGUGUCCUGUCCUGAGAGGGGCCAGUGGGAAGACAGGC